Molecule: unclassified non-coding RNA, 829 nt
Filed under: Hevea brasiliensis (rubber tree)
Lineage: Eukaryota; Viridiplantae; Streptophyta; Magnoliopsida; Malpighiales; Euphorbiaceae
Source: RNAcentral
GAUUUCUACUUUCUGUGAUUAAAAAUCUAAAUAACUAUAAUGGCUUACACAAGUCUUACAUCUUCUCCAUUAGUGUCAAAUGUUAGCGUUGGUGGAACCUCUAAGAUUAAUAACAACAAGGUAUCUGCACCUUGCUCUGUUUUCGUUCCGUCGAUGAGAAGGCCGACGACUAGGCUGGUAGCUCGGGCUACCGGCGAUAACAAAGAUACGUCAGUCGACGUACACCACAGCAGUGCUCAAGGAGGAAACAACCAAGGCACUGCCGUCGAACGCCGUCCUACGAGGAUGGCGCUUGAUGUUUCCCCUUUUGGAGUGUUAGAUCCAAUGUCACCGAUGAGAACAAUGCGGCAGAUGAUAGACACUAUGGACAGAUUAUUCGAAGAUACAAUGACAUUUCCAGGAAGAAACAGAGCAUCAGGAACAGGGGAAAUACGCACUCCAUGGGACAUUCAUGAUGAUGAAAACGAAAUCAAGAUGCGUUUCGACAUGCCGGGACUGUCCAAGGAAGAUGUAAAAGUAUCAGUAGAAAAUGACAUGCUUGUCAUUAAAGGGGAACACAAAAAGGAAGAAGACGGAAGAGAUAAACACUCAUGGGGUAGGAAUUAUAGCUCUUACGACACUCGUUUAAGUCUCCCAGAUAAUGUUGUGAAGGAUAAAAUCAAAGCGGAACUGAAGAAUGGAGUUCUUUUCAUCUCGAUUCCAAAGACUGAAGUGGAGAAAAAGGUGAUUGAUGUCCAAAUUAACUAACAUUCAGAAUCGCCAUGCUUUUGUUGUUCUAGGUUCAUUUGUAACCUUGUGUAAAAUGUAUGUUCGCAUAUGAAUAUAAAAC